UUUUAUCAGAUUUUAAGUACC
This 21-nucleotide non-coding RNA is filed under the name Caenorhabditis elegans. The record is from RNAcentral. Lineage: Eukaryota; Metazoa; Nematoda; Chromadorea; Rhabditida; Rhabditidae.